This 80-nucleotide transfer RNA is filed under the name Erysiphe necator (grape powdery mildew). It matches the Rfam family "tRNA". Rfam says of the family: Transfer RNA (tRNA) molecules are approximately 80 nucleotides in length. Their secondary structure includes four short double-helical elements and three loops (D, anti-codon, and T loops). Further hydrogen bonds mediate the characteristic L-shaped molecular structure. tRNAs have two regions of fundamental functional importance: the anti-codon, which is responsible for specific mRNA codon recognition, and the 3' end, to which the tRNAs corresponding amino acid is attached (by aminoacyl-tRNA synthetases). tRNAs cope with the degeneracy of the genetic code in two manners: having more than one tRNA (with a specific anti-codon) for a particular amino acid; and 'wobble' base-pairing, i.e. permitting non-standard base-pairing at the 3rd anti-codon position. The record is from Rfam by way of RNAcentral. Lineage: Eukaryota; Fungi; Ascomycota; Leotiomycetes; Helotiales; Erysiphaceae.
GGCCAGUUGGUGUAAUGGUCAGCACGUCGGAUUCUGACGGCAUAUUUCCGGAGAUGGGGGUUCGAUUCCCCCACAGGCCU